GAAGUAGUCGUCGUCUGACCAAUUGACUCGGACA
Molecule: small RNA, 34 nt
Filed under: Arabidopsis thaliana (thale cress)
Lineage: Eukaryota; Viridiplantae; Streptophyta; Magnoliopsida; Brassicales; Brassicaceae
Source: RNAcentral